Molecule: long non-coding RNA, 813 nt
Filed under: Homo sapiens (human)
Lineage: Eukaryota; Metazoa; Chordata; Mammalia; Primates; Hominidae
Description: HSALNT0319488
Source: RNAcentral
UGUGCGCUUGCGCAGAGACCGAACUACCGCUUUCCCCGUAACCAGGGAGACUGCAGUUUGCAGUGAUGUGGCUAAGAUACCCUUGUGCUAUUAAAGGCACAUUUACGUAUCUUUCAACGCAGUUUGUACCUUUGUUUAGGGUUCUAUUGAACUUUCUCUGUGCUCUUUAGAAAACCGUCGAAUAAAGGUAACCAUCUUUUUGGGUGCCUGGGCAUGGUCAUUGUCCCAGAGUUUUAACAGAAGUCUCUACUAAAGUAUCCUGAUUUGCAAGAACUCAAAUGAUGCUGUUUUUGGACAGGGAGGUCAUGGACCAAGUACAAAGCGGCAAAAGGAUGGAAUUAAGGUACCUGACAUUGUUGAACCCAUGCCUGAUGCCACAUUAGCUCAGGACUACCUACAUGGACAUGGAUAUUUCCAGUGAAAGAAAGAAGAAAGCAUGCUUUUCUCUUGACUGUGCAGAAAAAAAAACUAUGUUUCUUUGAUUCUCCAUUUUACUAGAUGCCAUACCUUUGCAAUUACUUCAUGUGGAGUCUUGACCAAGAUUCAGGAAAUACUAGAACUUUCAGUCCCAGAAGGUUACUCUGGGCAUUACUAGUCCCCAUCAUUAUGAGUUGAGUUUUACUAGUUAAUUUCAGACGAAAAAUAUUUGUUUUUCCCCAAAUUCUGGGGUUACGUACUUUUACUACCUAUGAACUGACAACUGUAUCUUCAGUAAUUACAAUUUCCAACAAAAUGUUAUAGGAAUAAAGAAAAGAUGUUAGUUCAUUAUUCAGAGUUUAUGUUUAUUCCUUUAAUAAAAAGAAAUGGUCUGUA